UACUAUAGCUUGACACUGAACAUUGAGCCUUGAUGUGUAGGAUAGGUGGGAGGCUUUGAAGUGUGGACGCCAGUCUGCAUGGAGCCGACCUUGAAAUACCACCCUUUAAUGUUUGAUGUUCUAACGUGGACCCGUAAUCCGGGUUGCGGACAGUGUCUGGUGGGUAGUUUGACUGGGGCGGUCUCCUCCUAAAGAGUAACGGAGGAGCACGAAGGUUGGCUAAUCCUGGUCGGACAUCAGGAGGUUAGUGCAAUG
RNAcentral lists this ribosomal RNA (255 nucleotides) under Escherichia coli. Its description in RNAcentral is "partial 23S ribosomal RNA". It matches the Rfam family "Bacterial large subunit ribosomal RNA", at positions 2102 to 2356 of the family's 2925-position model. The record is from RNAcentral. Lineage: Bacteria; Pseudomonadati; Pseudomonadota; Gammaproteobacteria; Enterobacterales; Enterobacteriaceae.